UACGAAGGGGGCUAGCGUUGCUCGGAAUCACUGGGCGUAAAGCGCACGUAGGCGGCUUUCUAAGUCAGGGGUGAAAUCCUGGAGCUCAACUCCAGAACUGCCUUUGAUACUGGAAAGCUCGAGUCCGGGAGAGGUGAGUGGAACUCCGAGUGUAGAGGUGAAAUUCGUAGAUAUUCGCAAGAACACCAGUGGCGAAGGCGGCUCACUGGCCCGGUACUGACGCUGAGGCACGAAAGCGUGGGGAGCAAACAGG
Molecule: ribosomal RNA, 253 nt
Filed under: uncultured bacterium
Lineage: Bacteria
Description: partial 16S ribosomal RNA
Rfam family: Bacterial small subunit ribosomal RNA
Source: RNAcentral